RNAcentral lists this long non-coding RNA (324 nucleotides) under Homo sapiens (human). RNAcentral's name for it is "non-protein coding LINC01204:12". The record is from RNAcentral. Lineage: Eukaryota; Metazoa; Chordata; Mammalia; Primates; Hominidae.
ACUUGCUGCUUUGUGUUUCAUUUGAUGAAGGUAAUGCUUCCUUAUCAGAAAUUCAUUCCAUUCUAAGGUACUUUAUGUUUUCCUGUUUCUCCAAAGUCUGUCAUUUCCUACAUGGUGUAUAUCUGUUUCCCUUUGUCAUGGUUUAGAGGAAAUACCACAUUUCAUGAAGAUUUCAUUUAUGAGAAGGAAAAAUAGCAGUUUUAAUACUAUGGAGUUUCACUCUCGUCGCCCAGGCUGGAGUACAAUGGCGCGAUCUUGGCUCACUGCAACCUCCACCUCCCCAGUUCAAGUGAUUCUCCUACCUCAGCCUCCCAAGUAGCUGGG